GGGUUGUGAGGUUAAGCGACGAAGCGUACACGGUGGAUGCCUAGGCAGUCAGAGGCGAUGAAGGACGUGCUAAUCUGCGAAAAGCGUCGGUAAGCUGAUAUGAAGCGUAAUAGCCGGCGAUGUCCGAAUGGGGAAACCCAGUGCAAUGCGUUGCACUAUCAUUAACUGAAUUCAUAGGUUAAUGAGGCGAACCGGGGGAACUGAAACAUCUCAGUACCCCGAGGAAAAGAAAUCAACCGAGAUUCCCCCAGUAGCGGCGAGCGAACGGGGAGGAGCCCAGAACCUGCAUCAGCUCGGGCAUCAGAGGAACGGUCUGGAAAGGCCGGCGAGAGAGGGUGACAGCCCCGUACUCGAAGAUGACCGGGUUGUGAGUUCGAAGAGUAAGGCGGGACACGAGAAAUCCUGUCUGAAGGUGGGGGGACCAUCCUCCAAGGCUAAAUACUCCUGACUGACCGAUAGUGAACCAGUACCGUGAGGGAAAGGCGAAAAGAACCCCGGCGAGGGGAGUGAAAGAGAACCUGAAACCGUGUACGUACAAGCAGUGGGAGCCCCACCACCAAAGCGUUUCGCUUUGCGUGGUGUACAAAAUGCGUAACGGCAUCACAGCGGCACGGUUGGCGGAGCGACAGCGACGCCCAACACAAAAAACAAGCCGUGGAGCGUUUUGGGGUGGGGUGACUGCGUACCUUUUGUAUAAUGGGUCAGCGACUUAUAUUCUGUAGCGAGGUUAACCGCAUAGGGGAGCCGUAGGGAAACCGAGUCUUAACUGGGCGAAUGAGUUGCAGGGUAUAGACCCGAAACCCGGUGAGCUAGCCAUGGGCAGGUUGAAGGUUGGGUAACACUAACUGGAGGACCGAACCGACUAAUGUUGAAAAAUUAGCGGAUGACCUGUGGCUGGGGGUGAAAGGCCAAUCAAACCGGGAGAUAGCUGGUUCUCCCCGAAAGCUAUUUAGGUAGCGCCUCGUGAAUUCAUCUUCGGGGGUAGAGCACUGUUUCGGCUAGGGGGCCAUCCCGGCUUACCAACCCGAUGCAAACUGCGAAUACCGAAGAAUGGUAUCACGGGAGACACACGGCGGGUGCUAACGUCCGUCGUGAAGAGGGAAACAACCCAGACCGCCAGCUAAGGUCCCGAAGUCAUGGUUAAGUGGGAAACGAUGUGGGAAGGCCCAGACAGCCAGGAUGUUGGCUUAGAAGCAGCCAUCAUUGAAAGAAAGCGUAAUAGCUCACUGGUCGAGUCGGCCUGCGCGGAAGAUGUAACGGGGCUAAACCAUGCACCGAAGCUGCGGCAGUGACGUUAAGGCGUUGCUGGGUAGGGGAGCGUUCUGUAAGCUGUUGAAGGUGGUGCCGUGAGGGCUGCUGGAGGUAUCAGAAGUGCGAAUGCUGACAUAAGUAACGAUAAAGCGGGUGAAAAACCCGCUCGCCGGAAGACCAAGGGUUCCUGUCCAACGUUAAUCGGGGCAGGGUGAGUCGACCCCUAAGGUGAGGCCGAACGGCGUAGCUGAUGGGAAACAGGUUAAUAUUCCUGUACUGAAUGCGACUGCGAAGGGGGGACGGAGAAGGCUAGGCCAUCCGGGCGACGGUUGUCCCGGUUUAAGCGUGUAGGUGGGAGGGGCAGGUAAAUCCGCUCUUCCGUGAACACUGAGGCGUGAUGACGAGCCGCUACGGCGGUGAAGUGGUUGAUGCCCGGCUUCCAGGAAAAGCCUCUAAGCCUCAGGUCGUAUUGAAUCGUACCCCAAACCGACACAGGUGGUCAGGUAGAGAAUACUCAGGCGCUUGAGAGAACUCGGGUGAAGGAACUAGGCAAAAUGGUGCCGUAACUUCGGGAGAAGGCACGCUGGCGUUAGGUGAAGGGAGAAACACCCGGAGCCGAGGCCAGUCGCAGAGACCAGCUGGCUGCAACUGUUUAUUAAAAACACAGCACUGUGCCAACACGUAAGUGGACGUAUACGGUGUGACGCCUGCCCGGUGCUGGAAGGUUAAUUGAUGGGGUUAGCCGCGAGGCGAGGCUCUUGAUAGAAGCCCCAGUAAACGGCGGCCGUAACUAUAACGGUCCUAAGGUAGCGAAAUUCCUUGUCGGGUAAGUUCCGACCUGCACGAAUGGCGUAAUGAUGGCCAGGCUGUCUCCACCCGAGACUCAGUGAAAUUGAACUCGCUGUGAAGAUGCAGUGUACCCGCGGCAAGACGGAAAGACCCCGUGAACCUUUACUAUAGCUUGACACUGAACAUGGAGCCUUGAUGUGUAGGAUAGGUGGGAGGCUGAGAAGCGCGGACGCCAGUCUGCGCGGAGCCAUCCUUGAAAUACCACCCUUGAAUGCUCGAUGUUCUCACUUAGGCCCGUUAUCCGGGCUGAGGACAGUGUCUGGCGGGUAGUUUGACUGGGGCGGUCUCCUCCCAAAGCGUAACGGAGGAGCACGAAGGUUGGCUAAUCACGGUCGGACAUCGUGAGGUUAGUGCAAAGGCAUAAGCCAGCUUAACUGCGAGAGUGACGGUUCGAGCAGGUACGAAAGUAGGUCUUAGUGAUCCGGUGGUUCUGCAUGGAAGGGCCAUCGCUCAACGGAUAAAAGGUACUCCGGGGAUAACAGGCUGAUACCGCCCAAGAGUUCAUAUCGACGGCGGUGUUUGGCACCUCGAUGUCGGCUCAUCACAUCCUGGGGCUGAAGUAGGUCCCAAGGGUAUGGCUGUUCGCCAUUUAAAGUGGUACGCGAGCUGGGUUUAGAACGUCGUGAGACAGUUCGGUCCCUAUCUGCCGUGGGCGCAGGAAGAUUGAAAGGGGCUGCUCCUAGUACGAGAGGACCGGAGUGGACGCACCGCUGGUGUACGGGUUGUCAUGCCAAUGGCAUUGCCCGGUAGCUAAGUGCGGGAGAGAUAACCGCUGAAAGCAUCUAAGCGGGAAACUUGCCUUGAGAUGAGUCUUCCCUUGACUUGAGGUCACGGAAGGAACGUUUAAGACGAAGACGUGGAUAGGCUGGGUGUGUAAGCGCAGCGAUGC
RNAcentral lists this ribosomal RNA (2989 nucleotides) under Photorhabdus kayaii. RNAcentral describes it as "partial 23S ribosomal RNA". It matches the Rfam family "Bacterial large subunit ribosomal RNA". Lineage: Bacteria; Pseudomonadati; Pseudomonadota; Gammaproteobacteria; Enterobacterales; Morganellaceae. RNAcentral also lists the same sequence under 1 other name. The record is from RNAcentral.